This 207-nucleotide ribosomal RNA is filed under the name uncultured bacterium. RNAcentral's name for it is "partial 16S ribosomal RNA". It matches the Rfam family "Bacterial small subunit ribosomal RNA", at positions 568 to 774 of the family's 1533-position model. The record is from RNAcentral.
UGCGUAGGCGGCGCGGUAAGUCGGGUGUGAAAUCUCGGGGCUUAACUCCGAAACUGCAUUCGAUACUGCCGUGAUUGAGGACUGGAGAGGAGACUGGAAUUUACGGUGUAGCGGUGAAAUGCGUAGAUAUCGUAAGGAAGACCAGUGGCGAAGGCGGGUCUCUGGACAGUUCCUGACGCUGAGGCACGAAGGCCAGGGAGGCAAACG